GUAGGUGAACCUGCGGAAGGAUCAUUAAAGAUUCGACCUUCGGGUCUAUCUCUCUUCAGCUGUGCGCUUAGGCUGCACGCUGUUGAACCUCCCACACCUGUGCACCAUUCGGUUGCGGUUUCGGCCGCUUCCGCUUUUACACAUACAACCACAGUCUAGAAUGUAAAACACAAUAACAAAUAACAACUUUCAACAACGGAUCUCUUGGCUCUCGCAUCGAUGAAGAACGCAGCAUCUGACUGACUUCGCC
This 250-nucleotide unclassified non-coding RNA is filed under the name plant metagenome. Its description in RNAcentral is "partial contains small subunit ribosomal RNA, internal transcribed spacer 1, and 5.8S ribosomal RNA". The stretch from base 185 to 250 matches the Rfam family "5.8S ribosomal RNA", at positions 1 to 53 of the family's 154-position model. The record is from RNAcentral.